Molecule: microRNA, 23 nt
Filed under: Ascaris suum (pig roundworm)
Lineage: Eukaryota; Metazoa; Nematoda; Chromadorea; Rhabditida; Ascarididae
Description: asu-miR-5360-5p
Source: miRBase by way of RNAcentral
ACGAAUCGUCGAAUCGGAUGUCU